Molecule: ribosomal RNA, 394 nt
Filed under: uncultured bacterium
Lineage: Bacteria
Description: bacterial SSU rRNA
Rfam family: Bacterial small subunit ribosomal RNA
Source: RNAcentral
AUUGAACGCUGGCGGCAUGCUUUACACAUGCAAGUCGAACGGCAGCACGGGUGCUUGCACCUGGUGGCGAGUGGCGAACGGGUGAGUAAUGCAUCGGAACGUGCCCAUGAGUGGGGGAUAGCCCGGCGAAAGCCGGAUUAAUACCGCAUACGUCCUUAGGGGGAAAGCGGGGGAUCUUCGGACCUCGCGCUAUUGGAGCGGCCGAUGUCGGAUUAGCUAGUAGGUGAGGUAAAGGCUCACCUAGGCGACGAUCCGUAGCUGGUCUGAGAGGAUGAUCAGCCACACUGGGACUGAGACACGGCCCAGACUCCUACGGGAGGCAGCAGUGGGGAAUUUUGGACAAUGGGCGCAAGCCUGAUCCAGCCAUGCCGCGUGAGUGAAGAAGGCCUCGGUU